UAUACUUUAGUGUCAAAUGCACAAAAAUUUUUGAAAUUUUAAGAAAUACUAUUAUUAUUAAGUAUAA
RNAcentral lists this transfer RNA (67 nucleotides) under Primeuchroeus sp. M48. RNAcentral describes it as "tRNA-Gln". Lineage: Eukaryota; Metazoa; Arthropoda; Insecta; Hymenoptera; Chrysididae. The record is from RNAcentral.